Dipodomys ordii (Ord's kangaroo rat) is the source of this 58-nucleotide non-coding RNA. The record is from Rfam. Lineage: Eukaryota; Metazoa; Chordata; Mammalia; Rodentia; Heteromyidae.
UGGCUCAGUGGUAGAGUGCUUGCCUUGCAUGCAUGAGGCCCUGGGUUCAAUACCUCAG